CAAUAGCGUAUAUUAAAGUUGUUGCGGUAAAAAAGCUCGUAGUUGGAUUUCUACCGAAGAUAGCCGGUCGGGUCUUCGACCUUGUAUCUGGUUUUGUCUUUGGUAUCCUCAUAGGGAACGUUUCUGCGCUUUAUUGCGUGGUGCGGUAUCUAUGACUUUUACUUUGAGGAAAUUAGAGUGUUCACGGCAGGCAAACGCCUUGAAUAUAUUAGCAUGGAAUAAUAACAUAGGAUCUUCGUCCUAUUUUGUUGGUUUCUAGGGCUAAGGUAAUGAUUAAUAGGGAUAAUUGGGGGCAUCUGUAUCAACGCGUCAGAGGUGGAAUUCUUGGAUUGCGUUGCGACAAACUACUGCGAAAGCAUUUGCCAAGGAUGUUUUCAUUGA
This 381-nucleotide ribosomal RNA is filed under the name uncultured eukaryote. RNAcentral's name for it is "partial 18S ribosomal RNA". It matches the Rfam family "Eukaryotic small subunit ribosomal RNA", at positions 592 to 976 of the family's 1831-position model. The record is from RNAcentral.